AUUGAACGCUGGCGGCAUGCCUUACACAUGCAAGUCGAACGGCAGCACGGGAGCAAUCCUGGUGGCGAGUGGCGAACGGGUGAGUAAUAUAUCGGAACGUGCCCAGUCGUGGGGGAUAACGUAGCGAAGGUUACGCUAAUACCGCAUACGAUCUAUGGAUGAAAGCGGGGGAUCGCAAGACCUCGCGCGAUUGGAGCGGCCGAUAUCAGAUUAGGUAGUUGGUGGGGUAAAGGCUCACCAAGCCGACGAUCUGUAGCUGGUCUGAGAGGACGACCAGCCACACUGGGACUGAGACACGGCCCAGACUCCUACGGGAGGCAGCAGUGGGGAAUUUUGGACAAUGGGCGCAAGCCUGAUCCAGCAAUGCCGCGUGCAGGAAGAAGGCCUUCGGGUUGUAAACUGCUUUUGUACGGAACGAAACGGCGAGCUCUAAUACAGUUUGCUAAUGACGGUACCGUAAGAAUAAGCACCGGCUAACUACGUG
This 484-nucleotide ribosomal RNA is filed under the name uncultured bacterium. RNAcentral's name for it is "bacterial SSU rRNA". It matches the Rfam family "Bacterial small subunit ribosomal RNA", at positions 30 to 507 of the family's 1533-position model. The record is from RNAcentral.